Molecule: long non-coding RNA, 934 nt
Organism: Triplophysa dalaica
Lineage: Eukaryota; Metazoa; Chordata; Actinopteri; Cypriniformes; Nemacheilidae
Exons: 3
Source: RefSeq, a predicted model, not a curated record
GACAAACUUUACCUUCGCGGGCAUUUUGAUCCACUUCAUCUCGGAAAGCUGUUAUUCGGAGAAGAAAAGGUUGCAGAAUAACAGCUAAUAUUAAUGGAUCAUUCUAUUCAAGAGAAUGUCAACUGGAACUUGGAUGUUUUCAUAACAGACUUAAAGAUGAAAAAAUUGAUAAAGAAACCCUCCUGCUGGACAUCCACUUCCAAAAGUGCACACCACACUGUUGUCUACAACUCCCAGGAAAAGAAUCCUCUUCAGUAAGACUGCUCCGUGGAUAUUUUAGGUUAAGCAGUGCUGAAACCGAAAGAACUAACACUAUUUAAAAUGUUUUGUGAGUUUAUAUGAAGAGGAAAGUUACGGUGUCCCUUUUUCACAUCCAUAACGCUUGUUUAUUUCUUUUUUUUAUAGAAAACUUGUGCAUAGACUUAUAUUUUAACAUAUAAAUGCGGUUCUAUUAACAAGGGUUUAGUAAAAUACUUUUUAUAGCGUUUUGAAGUGUUAAGUUGUCUAACUAUUUAUAUUUACUUGUGCCACUUUAAUAACCUUGUUAAAUGUAUAUGUUAAAAUCUAAACUAAUGUAAUUUAUUGAAAUUAAUUUUCUUUAAAUAUGUAUAAACAUACAUUUCAUCAAAGAGUUUUAUAUGCCAUUUUAUUGUUCAUUGAGCAUAACAUAUUGCAUGUUUUUAUGAAUUCCUUUUGUCUUGCAUUUUGAUCCUUAAUAAAACUAUUGAUUCUUACUGAUGCCUCGAGUAUUUCUCUGUGAUUUUGUUAUUAUUAUUUUUAAACAUUUCGGGUUUGUUUUAAACCAUCAAUGUAAUUUUUAAGCAAAAGUUGAUUUAAAUAAAACAACCCAGCAUGUUGGGUCAAAGAUUUAACCCAACUGGCUGGGUUAAAAUAACCCAACGCUGGGUUUGUCCAUAUUUGACCCAAUGUUGGG